RNAcentral lists this microRNA (22 nucleotides) under Pristionchus pacificus. RNAcentral's name for it is "ppc-miR-8228-5p". The record is from miRBase by way of RNAcentral. Lineage: Eukaryota; Metazoa; Nematoda; Chromadorea; Rhabditida; Neodiplogasteridae.
AACCGUGUGGCCUACUGGUAGC